Molecule: ribosomal RNA, 469 nt
Filed under: uncultured bacterium
Lineage: Bacteria
Description: partial 16S ribosomal RNA
Rfam family: Bacterial small subunit ribosomal RNA
Source: RNAcentral
GACGAACGCUGGCGGCGUGCUUAACACAUGCAAGUCGAACGGAAAGGCCCUGCUUGCAGGGUGCUCGAGUGGCGAACGGGUGAGUAACACGUGGGUGAUCUGCCCCUUAUUUUGGGAUAAGCCUGGGAAACUGGGUCUAAUACUGGAUAGGACCAUGCUGUAGGUGGUGUGGUGGAAAGAUUAGUUUCGGUAAGGGGUGAGCUCGCGGCCUAUCAGCUUGUUGGUGGGGUAAUGGCCUACCAAGGCGUCGACGGGUAGCCGGCCUGAGAGGGGGGACGGCAACAUUGGGACUGCGAUACGGCCCAGAAUCCUACGGGAGGCAGCAGUGGGGAAUAGUGCACAAUGGGCGCAAGCCUGAUGCAGCGACGCCGCGUGGGGGAUGAAGGCCUUCGGGUUGUAAACUCCUUUCAGCCAUGACGAAGCCCUUGUGGUGACGGUAGUGGUAGAAGAAGCACCGGCUAACUACGUG